UGACCGCUGGCGGCGUGCCUACUACAUGCAAGUCGAGCGAACGGACGAGAAGCUUGCUUCUCUGAUGUUAGCGGCGGACGGGUGAGUAACACGUGGAUAACCUACCUAUAAGACUGGGAUAACUUCGGGAAACCGUAGCUAAUACCGGAUAAUAUUUUGAACCGCAUGGUUCCAAAGUGAAAGACGGUCUUGCUGUCACUUAUAGAUGGAUCCGCGCUGCAUUAGCUAGUUGGUAAGGUAACGGCUUACCAAGGCAACGAUGCAUAGCCGACCUGAGAGGGUGAUCGGCCACACUGGAACUGAGACACGGUCCAGACUCCUACGGGAGGCAGCAGUAGGGAAUCUUCCGCAAUGGGCGAAAGCCUGACGGAGCAACGCCGCGUGAGUGAUGAAGGUCUUCGGAUCGUAAAACUCUGUUAUUAGGGAAGAACAUAUGUGUAAGUAACUGUGCACAUCUUGACGGUACCUAAUCAGAAAGCCACGGCUAACUACGUG
RNAcentral lists this ribosomal RNA (495 nucleotides) under uncultured bacterium. Its description in RNAcentral is "partial 16S ribosomal RNA". It matches the Rfam family "Bacterial small subunit ribosomal RNA", at positions 30 to 507 of the family's 1533-position model. The record is from RNAcentral.